UCAAGAGAUCUGCCUGCCUCAGCCUCUCAAAGGGCUGGGAUAACAGAUGUAAGCCACUGCAUCUGGCCUCCAAUGAGUUGUUAUGUGAAGAGAACGUGAUUAAGUUAGAGGACUCCAACCAGGCCUGAACUCUCAAGGACAGAAAUGGGUCCAACCUGGCAUGACAUCCUCUAAAUCUUUAGCUCCUGGCCUCUCAGGUGCCCCCUCCAGCUACCUCCCUCUUCCUUCUCUUCAUUCCCCAAGCCAUAGCUGGUUGGGCCAACCUCCAGACAUUAGCCUCUUUGCAAACUCCUAUUCAUCCCUCAAAGCCUCACCUUCAAUGCUCUCCUCCCCAAGAAGCUCUCUCCUCUACCUCUAGACCUUUUCCAGCCCUCUUCCCUCUUUCUGGCCCAGCCCUGACUCCUGGGAGUGUCUGUGUGCAGCUUUGACUCCCCCAGCCUGAGUGUCUCUCAAGGGCUGAGACCAGGGCCCAUGUUUCCCUAGAGUUUGUCAUCUUCCAGCAUAGUGUGGACGCAUGGGGGUCAGGCAAAGGGGGAGUUUGAUGACUCAGUACUAUUGGUGAUUUUGCAUCACUUGAAGGAGACCCUGCCUUAAAUUCAGAACUUGACUUCU
RNAcentral lists this long non-coding RNA (612 nucleotides) under Homo sapiens (human). Its description in RNAcentral is "HSALNT0396486". Lineage: Eukaryota; Metazoa; Chordata; Mammalia; Primates; Hominidae. The record is from RNAcentral.